CCUAGGGGGGCUGCAGUGAGGAAUACUGGUCAAUGGACGAGAGUCUGAACCAGCCAAGUAGCGUGAAGGAUGACUGCCCUAUGGGUUGUAAACUUCUUUUAUAUGGGAAUAAAACGUUCCACGUGUGGGAUUUUGUAUGUACCAUAUGAAUAAGGAUCGGCUAACUCCGUGCCAGCAGCCGCGGUAAUACGGAGGAUCCGAGCGUUAUCCGGAUUUAUUGGGUUUAAAGGGAGCGUAGGUGGAUUGUUAAGUCAGUUGUGAAAGUUUGCGGCUCAACCGUAAAAUUGCAGUUGAAACUGGCAGUCUUGAGUACAGUAGAGGUGGGCGGAAUUCGUGGUGUAGCGGUGAAAUGCUUAGAUAUCACGAAGAACUCCGAUUGCGAAGGCAGUUCACUGGACUGCAACUGACACUGAGGCUCGAAAGUGUGGGUAUCAAACAGGAUUAGAUACCCGGGUAGUC
This 459-nucleotide ribosomal RNA is filed under the name uncultured bacterium. RNAcentral describes it as "partial 16S ribosomal RNA". It matches the Rfam family "Bacterial small subunit ribosomal RNA", at positions 338 to 795 of the family's 1533-position model. The record is from RNAcentral.